RNAcentral lists this ribosomal RNA (253 nucleotides) under uncultured bacterium. Its description in RNAcentral is "partial 16S ribosomal RNA". It matches the Rfam family "Bacterial small subunit ribosomal RNA", at positions 524 to 776 of the family's 1533-position model. The record is from RNAcentral.
UACAGAGGUGGCAAGCGUUGUUCGGAAUUACUGGGCGUAAAGCGCACGUAGGCGGCUUGGCAAGUCGGAUGUGAAAUCCCUCGGCUCAACCAAGGAAGUGCAUCCGAAACUGCUGAGCUUGAGUACUUAAGAGGAUCGCGGAAUUCCCGGUGUAGAGGUGAAAUUCGUAGAUAUCGGGAGGAACACCAGUGGCGAAGGCGGCGAUCUGGGAAGAUACUGACGCUGAGGUGCGAAAGCGUGGGGAGCAAACAGG